This 125-nucleotide small RNA is filed under the name Marmota monax (woodchuck). The record is from RNAcentral. Lineage: Eukaryota; Metazoa; Chordata; Mammalia; Rodentia; Sciuridae.
GCUGGGUGCAGUGGCGCAUGCCUGUAAUCUCAGCAACUUGGGAGGCUGAGUCAGGAGGAUCUCAAGAUCAAAGCCAGCCUCAGCAAUGGCGAGACACUAAGCAACUCAGUGAGAUCCUGUCUCCA